GAACUAUCACUGCCAAGGGAAUUCUUCUUUGAUGUUACAGGUGAUAGAACUAAGAAGAAACAAUGAGAGGAGGUUACAGGCAGGUCAGCCUCGUCCAUUUCCAUCAUAGUCUCUCAGAUUUCCAUGUGUUUUCCCUUCUGGUUCUUCUUUCUUGACUGUGUCCUGUGUCUACUAGAUAUGGAAAACUAGACAAACAAGCUUGGUGAACUUUGUGGAAGAGAAGAUGGCUUCUAAGUGAGAAAUUGCAGGGCUUUCUAUGAAUAAAGUGCACAAGUUCUAGUACAUGUGCCUUCUAACAUAAAAUUUGGUGUUUGGGUCGCUAACAAAGCCAGAUAAGUAAAUUCUAGAUGAGAAAUUAAAAUGUGGUAAAUAUAUACAUGGUGGAAUAUUACUCAGCCUUAAAAAAGAA
This is a non-coding RNA of Microcebus murinus (gray mouse lemur), 409 nucleotides long. The record is from RefSeq and is a predicted model, not a curated record. NCBI's taxonomy places the organism in Eukaryota, Metazoa, Chordata, Mammalia, Primates, Cheirogaleidae.